UUACCAAGAAAAUGCACCCCUGUUGGUUAUUAUUUCUGUAUCGCAAAGCGGUGAGUUUCUAUUUCUUGGUAAUUCGGUUUGUGAAAUGACUAUUAAUUACAAGCACAGCAUCAUCAACGGUGAUUGCAAGAACUACUGCAAUCCCUGCGGUUUUUCCUCUUGGUAAAUGCGUUCUGGUCGUGACCAAGGGUGGUCUCCCAAUCGGCCGGGAAUAAGGCUAUUGUUGCAGAACAAAACGCCACAACCACCGCUGUUGUAAAUAUGUUCCAGCAGUACUGCCCACCGCCGUCGGAGUAAUGAUUUCGAUAGCUGAACAAACGCCAUCUCCUGGGCAUUCCCACAUACCGACAAUAGCUAUUAUAUCACGUGUGAAUGCAACUGCGGCUAAAUUUGGUUAUUAACAGUGCAAUAGUGCCAUGUCAUUGCCAAAAACACUAAGGGAUGCUGGCACAUAGAGGUUGUAAAGUUUUUGGAAUCGAUGAACUUACUCGAAGAAGACGAUGGUCGAAAACAUAUGAUGAAACAUCUUCUGGCGUGCCUUUGACAAUCGUUAAGGUAGACGGAGGCUUCACAUACGAUUUUUCACACAUGGCUGGAAUUCGUUAGCGGACAGAGCACACAUUUACAAAAUAUUUAUCGUUCUGCAGAACGUGCAUGCAUAUUCGAUUCCGAUUUUAUGGGUCGAUUACGG
Molecule: long non-coding RNA, 691 nt
Organism: Rhagoletis pomonella (apple maggot)
Lineage: Eukaryota; Metazoa; Arthropoda; Insecta; Diptera; Tephritidae
Exons: 3
Source: RefSeq, a predicted model, not a curated record